Caenorhabditis elegans is the source of this 143-nucleotide non-coding RNA. The record is from Ensembl. NCBI's taxonomy places the organism in Eukaryota, Metazoa, Nematoda, Chromadorea, Rhabditida, Rhabditidae.
ACCCUCCAGUGUCCUUCGUUUUACGAGUUUUCCAAUGAAAAUCCCCUCGUCCCGCCGUCCAGAAGGUCGUUAAAUUUACGACCGUCCCUUUCUCCCACAACCCCCCUUCGUCCGUCCGCCCUCCCGGACAUUUGAUGUUACCC